CCCGGGGCUUAACCCCGGGUCUGCAGUCGAUACGGGCAGGCUAGAGUUCGGUAGGGGAGAUCGGAAUUCCUGGUGUAGCGGUGAAAUGCGCAGAUAUCAGGAGGAACACCGGUGGCGAAGGCGGAUCUCUGGGCCGAUACUGACGCUGAGGAGCGAAAGCGUGGGGAGCGAACAGGAUUAGAUACCCUGGUAGUCCACGCCGUAAACGGUGGGCACUAGGUGUGGGCAACAUUCCACGUUGUCCGUGCCGCAGC
This 254-nucleotide ribosomal RNA is filed under the name Streptomyces lasiicapitis. RNAcentral describes it as "partial 16S ribosomal RNA". It matches the Rfam family "Bacterial small subunit ribosomal RNA", at positions 601 to 852 of the family's 1533-position model. Lineage: Bacteria; Bacillati; Actinomycetota; Actinomycetes; Kitasatosporales; Streptomycetaceae. The record is from RNAcentral.